Molecule: long non-coding RNA, 510 nt
Organism: Condylostylus longicornis
Lineage: Eukaryota; Metazoa; Arthropoda; Insecta; Diptera; Dolichopodidae
Exons: 4
Source: RefSeq, a predicted model, not a curated record
UGGAAAUGUUCAAUUUUAAUUUUAUAAAUAAAAAACGUGUGUUUAAAAAUUACAAAAAAGGAGAAAAAUGAAGAACUAGUCGGUUUCUGUACAUUUAAACAGUAUAGUAAUAAUUAAAUUGCAAUGGGUUUGCAAUUAAUGAGCCAAACGGAGUUCUAUGUACCUACAUAAAUUUCACAAACGGAUCAUUUGAAAAUGGCUUAUUUAAUUUUCAUUUCACCCAUGGACAAUUGCUUAAAGUGGCAGCAAAAUAAAAGAAUAAAAGAAAAUAAAUCUGAAGUUAUGUUGGUUUUAUUGCAAUGUAUUAAAUAAGAAUAAAUUUUCGAGCUUGCUGCUGAAGAAACCAAAAUAGAUAAAAACAAUUUAUUUAGAUGGGUGUCUACUGUGGGGUUCAAUUUUAAUCAUCGAAAUAAAAUUGUUCAGCAGAUGCAAUAAUUGUACAUCUUAUUCUUUUUAAGCUGUUAUUUUAAGAAAUAAAUGUUUUAAGAUCUAAUUUUUUAUGCAACAAAA